RNAcentral lists this ribosomal RNA (468 nucleotides) under uncultured bacterium. RNAcentral's name for it is "partial 16S ribosomal RNA". It matches the Rfam family "Bacterial small subunit ribosomal RNA", at positions 28 to 507 of the family's 1533-position model. The record is from RNAcentral.
GACGAACGCUGGCGGCGUGCUUAACACAUGCAAGUCGAACGGAAAGGCCCUGCUUUUGUGGGGUGCUCGAGUGGCGAACGGAUGAGUAACACGUGAGUAACCUGCCCUUGACUUUGGGAUAACUUCAGGAAACUGGGGCUAAUACCGGAUAGGAGCUCCUGCUGCAUGGUGGGGGUUGGAAAGUUUCGGCGGUUGGGGAUGGACUCGCGGCUUAUCAGCUUGUUGGUGGGGUAGUGGCUUACCAAGGCUUUGACGGGUAGCCGGCCUGAGAGGGUGACCGGCCACAUUGGGACUGAGAUACGGCCCAGACUCCUACGGGAGGCAGCAGUGGGGAAUAUUGCACAAUGGGCGGAAGCCUGAUGCAACAACGCCGCGUGCGGGAUGACGGCCUUCGGGUUGUAAACCGCUUUCGCCUGUGACGAAGCGUGAGUGACGGUAAUGGGUAAAGAAGCACCGGCUAACUACGUG